RNAcentral lists this ribosomal RNA (253 nucleotides) under uncultured bacterium. Its description in RNAcentral is "partial 16S ribosomal RNA". It matches the Rfam family "Bacterial small subunit ribosomal RNA", at positions 524 to 776 of the family's 1533-position model. The record is from RNAcentral.
GACGGAGGGUGCUAGCGUUGUUCGGAAUUACUGGGCGUAAAGGGCGCGUAGGCGGCCCUGUCAGUCGGGUGUGAAAGCCCGGGGCUCAACCCCGGAACGGCACCCGAGACGGCGAGGCUGGAGACCGGGAGAGGAGGGUGGAAUAGCCAGUGUAGAGGUGAAAUUCGUAGAUAUUGGCUGGAACACCGGUGGCGAAAGCGGCUCUCUGGCCCGGUUCUGACGCUGAGGCGCGAAAGCGUGGGGAGCAAACAGG